RNAcentral lists this ribosomal RNA (172 nucleotides) under Lacticaseibacillus paracasei. Its description in RNAcentral is "Lactobacillus paracasei partial 23S ribosomal RNA". It matches the Rfam family "Bacterial large subunit ribosomal RNA", at positions 1 to 175 of the family's 2925-position model. The record is from RNAcentral. Lineage: Bacteria; Bacillati; Bacillota; Bacilli; Lactobacillales; Lactobacillaceae.
GACUAGUUACAAAGGGCGCACGGUGGAUGCCUUGGCACUAGGAGCCGAUGAAGGACGGAACUAAUACCGAUAUGCUUCGGGGAGCUAUAAGUAAGCUUUGAUCCGGAGAUUUCCGAAUGGGGGAACCCAGUACACAUCAGUGUAUUGCUUGUCAGUGAAUACAUAGCUGGCC